CUCUGCUGACGAGUCCCAAACAGGACGAAACAGCUGUCCAAUCUUGAG
RNAcentral lists this non-coding RNA (48 nucleotides) under Echinostoma caproni. The record is from RNAcentral. Lineage: Eukaryota; Metazoa; Platyhelminthes; Trematoda; Plagiorchiida; Echinostomatidae.